Unclassified non-coding RNA from Colobus angolensis palliatus, 102 nucleotides. It matches the Rfam family "Y RNA". Rfam says of the family: Y RNAs are components of the Ro ribonucleoprotein particle (Ro RNP), in association with Ro60 and La proteins. The Y RNAs and Ro60 and La proteins are well conserved, but the function of the Ro RNP is not known. The record is from Ensembl. Lineage: Eukaryota; Metazoa; Chordata; Mammalia; Primates; Cercopithecidae.
AGCUGGUCUGAGUGCAGUGGUGUUUACAACUAAUUGAUCACAACCAGUUACAGAUUUAUUUGUUCCUUUACUAUUCCCACUAUUUCAUUCUACUAACCUUUG